RNAcentral lists this ribosomal RNA (919 nucleotides) under uncultured fungus. RNAcentral describes it as "eukaryotic LSU rRNA". The stretch from base 592 to 919 matches the Rfam family "Eukaryotic large subunit ribosomal RNA", at positions 1 to 322 of the family's 3401-position model. Lineage: Eukaryota; Fungi. The record is from RNAcentral.
GGAAGGAUCAUUACCGAAUUGUCGACACGAGCUGUUGCUGGUCCUCAAAUGGGGGCAUGUGCACGCUCUGUUUACACAUCCACUCACACCUGUGCACCCUCUGUAGUUCUGUGACAUGGGGGACUCUGUCCUCCUGUUGUGGCUCUACGUUUUUACACACACUCUGUAACAAAGUAUCAUGGAAUGUAUGCCGCGUUUAACGCAAUACAAUACAACUUUCAGCAACGGAUCUCUUGGCUCUCGCAUCGAUGAAGAACGCAGCGAAAUGCGAUAAGUAAUGUGAAUUGCAGAAUUCAGUGAAUCAUCGAAUCUUUGAACGCACCUUGCGCCCUUUGGCUAUUCCGAAGGGCAUGCCUGUUUGAGUAUCAUGAACACCUCAACUCUCGUGGUUUGCUACGAUGAGCUUGGACUUUGGGGGUUUUGCUGGCCUGUGGUCGGCUCCUCUCAAAUGAAUCAGCUUCCCAGCGUUUGGUGGAGUCGCAGGUGUGAUAACUAUCUACACUUGUUGUUUUUCACCAGAUAACCUUCAGUGAUGGAGGUUCGUUGGGGCUCAUAAAUGUCUCCCCUCAGUGAAGACAGCUUUUGAACGUUUGAUCUCAAAUCAGGUAGGACUACCCGCUGAACUUAAGCAUAUCAAUAAGCGGAGGAAAAGAAACUAACAAGGAUUCCCCUAGUAACUGCGAGUGAAGCGGGAAGAGCUCAAAUUUAAAAUCUGGCGUCCUCUGGCCGUCUGAGUUGUAGUCUGGAGAAGCGUUUUCCGUGUUGGACCGUGUACAAGUCCCUUGGAACAGGGCGUCAUAGAGGGUGAGAAUCCCGUCUUUGACACGGACUACCAAUGCUUUGUGAUGCGCUCUCAAAGAGUCGAGUUGUUUGGGAAUGCAGCUCAAAAUGGGUGGUAAAUUCCAUCUAAAGCUAAAUA